AUUUGAAAGCUGGCCCCCCCGGGGGUCCGCGUUGUAAUUUGUAGAGGAUGAUUCGGCGAGGGCUCCCGCCUAAGUCCCCUGGAACGGGGCGUCAUAGAGGGUGAGAAUCCCGUAUGCGGUGGGCUGCCUUAGCCACGUGAAUCUCCUUCGACGAGUCGAGUUGUUUGGGAAUGCAGCUCUAAAUGGGAGGUAAAUUUCUUCUAAAGCUAAAUACCGGCCAGAGACCGAUAGCGCACAAGUAGAGUGAUCGAAAGAUGAAAAGCACUUUGGAAAGAGAGUUAAAAAGUACGUGAAAUUGUUGAAAGGGAAGCGCUUGCAGCCAGACUUGUCCGCAGUUGCUCAGCCGGUCUCCUGACCGGCGCACUCUUCUGCGGCCAGGCCAGCAUCAGUUCGGGCGGUCGGAUAAAGGCCCCGGGAACGUAGCUCCUCUCGGGGAGUGUUAUAGCCCGGGGUGGAAUGCGGCCAGCCCGGACUGAGGAUCUCGCUUCGGCUAGGAUGCUGGCGUAAUGGCUGUAAGCG
Molecule: ribosomal RNA, 519 nt
Filed under: Neoscytalidium novaehollandiae
Lineage: Eukaryota; Fungi; Ascomycota; Dothideomycetes; Botryosphaeriales; Botryosphaeriaceae
Description: LSU rRNA
Rfam family: Eukaryotic large subunit ribosomal RNA
Source: RNAcentral